GAGGUCCGAAUAGUGGGGGAGGAAACAGGAUGAAGGAACCUGGUUGGCCACACCGGUAACGGGGGGUACUAGGUGUCGGGGGUUACCCCCUUCGGGGCCGCAGCUAACGCAUUAAGGACUCCGCCUGGGAAGUACGCUCGCAAGAGGGAAACUCAAAGGAAUUGACGGGGACCCGCACAAGUAGCGGAGCAUGUGGUUUAAUUCGAAGCAACGCGAAGAACCUUACCUAAGC
This 232-nucleotide ribosomal RNA is filed under the name Clostridioides difficile. RNAcentral describes it as "partial 16S ribosomal RNA". It matches the Rfam family "Bacterial small subunit ribosomal RNA", at positions 748 to 980 of the family's 1533-position model. Lineage: Bacteria; Bacillati; Bacillota; Clostridia; Peptostreptococcales; Peptostreptococcaceae. The record is from RNAcentral.